RNAcentral lists this ribosomal RNA (467 nucleotides) under uncultured Paracoccaceae bacterium. RNAcentral's name for it is "bacterial SSU rRNA". It matches the Rfam family "Bacterial small subunit ribosomal RNA", at positions 431 to 916 of the family's 1533-position model. The record is from RNAcentral. Lineage: Bacteria; Pseudomonadati; Pseudomonadota; Alphaproteobacteria; Rhodobacterales; Paracoccaceae.
CUCUUUCGCCUGUGAUGAUAAUGACAGUAGCAGGUAAAGAAACCCCGGCUAACUCCGUGCCAGCAGCCGCGGUAAUACGGAGGGGGUUAGCGUUGUUCGGAAUUACUGGGCGUAAAGCGCACGUAGGCGGAUUAGAAAGUUAGAGGUGAAAUCCCGGGGCUCAACCCCGGAACUGCCUUUAAAACUACUAGUCUAGAGUUCGAGAGAGGUGAGUGGAAUUCCGAGUGUAGAGGUGAAAUUCGUAGAUAUUCGGAGGAACACCAGUGGCGAAGGCGGCUCACUGGCUCGAUACUGACGCUGAGGUGCGAAAGUGUGGGGAGCAAACAGGAUUAGAUACCCUGGUAGUCCACACCGUAAACGAUGAAUGCCAGUCGUCGGGUAGUAUACUAUUCGGUGACACACCUAACGGAUUAAGCAUUCCGCCUGGGGAGUACGGUCGCAAGAUUAAAACUCAAAUGAAUUGACGG